GACGAACGCUGGCGGCGUGCUUAACACAUGCAAGUCGAACGGAAAGGCCCUGCUUUUGUGGGGUGCUCGAGUGGCGAACGGGUGAGUAACACGUGAGUAACCUGCCCUUGACUUUGGGAUAACUUCAGGAAACUGGGGCUAAUACCGGAUAGGAGCUCCUGCUGCAUGGUGGGGGUUGGAAAGUUUCGGCGGUUGGGGAUGGACUCGCGGCUUAUCAGCUUGUUGGUGGGGUAGUGGCUUACCAAGGCUUUGACGGGUAGCCGGCCUGAGAGGGUGACCGGCCACAUUGGGACUGAGAUACGGCCCAGACGCCUACGGGAGGCAGCAGUGGGGAAUAUUGCACAAUGGGCGGAAGCCUGAUGCAGCAACGCCGCGUGCGGGAUGACUGCCUUCGGGUUGUAAACCGCUUUCGCCUGUGACGAAGCGUGAGUGACGGUAAUGGGUAAAGAAGCACCGGCUAACUACGUG
This 468-nucleotide ribosomal RNA is filed under the name uncultured bacterium. RNAcentral's name for it is "partial 16S ribosomal RNA". It matches the Rfam family "Bacterial small subunit ribosomal RNA", at positions 28 to 507 of the family's 1533-position model. The record is from RNAcentral.